CUGGCUACAUGAUGAAUAAAAUCAAAUCACCAUCUUUCGGCUGAGCUCGUGAUGGAUUUCCUUUUUUCUGACAAAGCCAG
Small nucleolar RNA from Capra hircus (goat), 80 nucleotides. The record is from Ensembl. Lineage: Eukaryota; Metazoa; Chordata; Mammalia; Artiodactyla; Bovidae.